GUUUGGCAUCUGGUAUGGGAAGAGCCGGCUAAAUGCCGAGAGGACAAAGUGCAUCCAGGAGAUAGUGUGUGGGUGCUCGGGUGAAGCUGGUGUUGAGAACACAAGGUCCUGGAGGUGACGAGUUUGAAACUUUGAAUGCGAGUGUGGUCAGUUUGCUCACAUGGGAUUGUUACGUAGCCAUGUCCUGAAGGUGCUCGAUUUCAUCAGGAUAAAAGAAAUUCCAUAGAAGCACAUAGUUAAUAGGUGGACCAGAGAUGCAAGGUAUAUUCUGCCUGCUCACCUUACACAAUAUCAGAGGGACUAUGCUCACAAGAAUCCAUUCAGUUUUACGCAUUUCACUGUGUGCUUCUUUAGUAUAUGGGACCAAAAAAUGUUUGUCGGACUAGUGUGUCCGUCAUCAUUUUUGACGUUGUAAUUCUGAACUUAUCCUGAUUCCAUGUUUGAUAAAACCCAUUAUGGUUUGUGAAUCCAUGUUCUCAGGAUUUCCUAGGAUUAUGACUAUCCAAGGAAAGAGUUUGACUGCUAGUACUGUUUCUGAAUUUUCGUUGAAGUGUAACUCUAAA
This is a long non-coding RNA of Triticum dicoccoides, 563 nucleotides long. RefSeq lists it as uncharacterized. The record is from RefSeq and is a predicted model, not a curated record. Lineage: Eukaryota; Viridiplantae; Streptophyta; Magnoliopsida; Poales; Poaceae. The transcript is spliced from 3 exons.